RNAcentral lists this ribosomal RNA (2871 nucleotides) under Escherichia coli. RNAcentral's name for it is "bacterial LSU rRNA". It matches the Rfam family "Bacterial large subunit ribosomal RNA". The record is from RNAcentral. Lineage: Bacteria; Pseudomonadati; Pseudomonadota; Gammaproteobacteria; Enterobacterales; Enterobacteriaceae.
UUAAGCGACUAAGCGUACACGGUGGAUGCCCUGGCAGUCAGAGGCGAUGAAGGACGUGCUAAUCUGCGAUAAGCGUCGGUAAGGUGAUAUGAACCGUUAUAACCGGCGAUUUCCGAAUGGGGAAACCCAGUGUGAUUCGUCACACUAUCAUUAACUGAAUCCAUAGGUUAAUGAGGCGAACCGGGGGAACUGAAACAUCUAAGUACCCGAGGAAAAGAAAUCAACCGAGAUUCCCCAGUAGCGGCGAGCGAACGGGAGCAGCCCAGAGCCUGAAUCAGUGUGUGUGUUAGUGGAAGCGUCUGGAAAGGCGCGCGAUACAGGGUGACAGCCCCGUACACAAAAACAUGCUGUGAGCUCGAUGAGUAGGGCGGGACACGUGGUAUCCUGUCUGAAUAUGGGGACCAUCCUCCAAGGCUAAAUACUCCUGACUGACCGAUAGUGAACCAGUACCGUGAGGGAAAGGCGAAAAGAACCCGGCGAGGGAGUGAAAAAGAACCUGAAACCGUGUACGUACAAGCAGUGGGAGCACGCUUAGGCGUGUGACUGCGUACCUUUGUAUAAUGGGUCAGCGACUUAUAUUCUGUAGCAAGGUUAACCGAAUAGGGAGCCGAAGGAAACCGAGUCUUAACUGGGCGUUAAGUUGCAGGGUAUAGACCCGAAACCCGGUGAUCAGCCAUGGGCAGGUUGAAGGUUGGGUAACACUAACUGGAGGACCGAACCGACUAAUGUUGAAAAAUUAGCGGAUGACUUGUGGCUGGGGUGAAAGGCCAAUCAAACCGGGAGAUAGCUGGUUCUCCCGAAAGCUAUUUAGGUAGCGCCUCGUGAAUUCAUCUCCGGGGUAGAGCACUGUUUCGGCAAGGGGUCAUCCGACUUACCAACCCGAUGCAAACUGCGAAUACCGGAGAAUGUUAUCACGGGAGACACACGGCGGUGCUAACGUCCGUCGUGAAGAGGGAAACAACCCAGACCGCCAGCUAAGGUCCCAAAGUCAUGGUUAAGUGGGAAACGAUGUGGGAAGGCCCAGACAGCCAGGAUGUUGGCUUAGAAGCAGCCAUCAUUUAAAGAAAGCGUAAUAGCUCACUGGUCGAGUCGGCCUGCGCGGAAGAUGUAACGGGGCUAAACCAUGCACCGAAGCUGCGGCAGCGACGCUUAUGCGUUGUUGGGUAGGGGAGCGUUCUGUAAGCCUGCGAAGGUGUGCUGUGAGGCAUGCUGGAGGUAUCAGAAGUGCGAAUGCUGACAUAAGUAACGAUAAAGCGGGUGAAAAGCCCGCUCGCCGGAAGACCAAGGGUUCCUGUCCAACGUUAAUCGGGCAGGGUGAGUCGACCCUAAGGCGAGGCCGAAAGGCGUAGUCGAUGGGAAACAGGUUAAUAUUCCUGUACUUGGUGUUACUGCGAAGGGGACGGAGAAGGCUAUGUUGGCCGGGCGACGGUUGUCCCGGUUUAAGUGUAGGCUGGUUUUCCGCAAAUCCGGAAAACUAAGGCUGAGGCGUGAUGACGAGGCACUACGGUGCUGAAGCAACAAAUGCCCUGCUUCCAGGAAAAGCCUCUAAGCAUCAGGUAACAUCAAAUCGUACCCCAAACCGACACAGGUGGUCAGGUAGAGAAUACCAAGGCGCUUGAGAGAACUCGGGUGAAGGAACUAGGCAAAAUGGUGCCGUAACUUCGGGAGAAGGCACGCUGAUAUGUAGGUGAAGCGACUUGCUCGUGGAGCUGAAAUCAGUCGAAGAUACCAGCUGGCUGCAACUGUUUAUUAAAAACACAGCACUGUGCAAACACGAAAGUGGACGUAUACGGUGUGACGCCUGCCCGGUGCCGGAAGGUUAAUUGAUGGGGUCAGCGCAAGCGAAGCUCUUGAUCGAAGCCCCGGUAAACGGCGGCCGUAACUAUAACGGUCCUAAGGUAGCGAAAUUCCUUGUCGGGUAAGUUCCGACCUGCACGAAUGGCGUAAUGAUGGCCAGGCUGUCUCCACCCGAGACUCAGUGAAAUUGAACUCGCUGUGAAGAUGCAGUGUACCCGCGGCAAGACGGAAAGACCCCGUGAACCUUUACUAUAGCUUGACACUGAACAUUGAGCCUUGAUGUGUAGGAUAGGUGGGAGGCUUUGAAGUGUGGACGCCAGUCUGCAUGGAGCCGACCUUGAAAUACCACCCUUUAAUGUUUGAUGUUCUAACGUGGACCCGUGAUCCGGGUUGCGGACAGUGUCUGGUGGGUAGUUUGACUGGGGCGGUCCCCUCCUAAAGAGUAACGGAGGAGCACGAAGGUUGGCUAAUCCUGGUCGGACAUCAGGAGGUUAGUGCAAUGGCAUAAGCCAGCUUGACUGCGAGCGUGACGGCGCGAGCAGGUGCGAAAGCAGGUCAUAGUGAUCCGGUGGUUCUGAAUGGAAGGCCAUCGCUCAACGGAUAAAAGGUACUCCGGGGAUAACAGGCUGAUACCGCCCAAGAGUUCAUAUCGACGGCGGUGUUUGGCACCUCGAUGUCGGCUCAUCACAUCCUGGGGCUGAAGUAGGUCCCAAGGGUAUGGCUGUUCGCCAUUUAAAGUGGUACGCGAGCUGGGUUUAGAACGUCGUGAGACAGUUCGGUCCCUAUCUGCCGUGGGCGCUGGAGAACUGAGGGGGGCUGCUCCUAGUACGAGAGGACCGGAGUGGACGCAUCACUGGUGUUCGGGUUGUCAUGCCAAUGGCACUGCCCGGUAGCUAAAUGCGGAAGAGAUAAGUGCUGAAAGCAUCUAAGCACGAAACUUGCCCCGAGAUGAGUUCUCCCUGACUCCUUGAGAGUCCUGAAGGAACGUUGAAGACGACGACGUUGAUAGGCCGGGUGUGUAAGCGCAGCGAUGCGUUGAGCUAACCGGUACUAAUGAACCGUGAGGCUUAACCU